AUGGGUUGUGAAAUGCACGGGACAGUCCAGAGAGAAAGAUGGAACAUACAGGGAGGGAGCAGUGUUUGGAGCCCCAACAGUUUCACCACUAAUUUAAUUUAUCCAAACUAUUUUUCAUCUUUAUGGCACCAUGAUAUGGAUAUGAUCCAAAGGGACGCAAUUAUUUAUUUGCUGCUGAUAAUUUUCCACCAUUUUGGCAUGGGACCUGAGAGGGACACGACGACAAUGGCGGUCAAUGCAAUAAGUUGGUUUGCUGCUACUGUAUAAGUCUGUAAGAUAGCUACAGGCACGUUUACUCCAUCAUCAUCAUCAGACAAUAGGAACGACUGUAGCUAGCUCAACAACAGUCGGAGAAAGAUCCCUUCACCAAACUCACAGUAUUUUUUUAUCUGUCGACGACACCAGUACAUCGAACCUACAGUAAGAUGCAUCCACGGAGACGACGGAGCACAAAUCCUGGUCAAACACAGGAAAUACGGACGCGAGGAUCGUGCGCGCGGACGAGUAGAUUCUGCACUCCACUUGGAAAAACAAGCCCGGACGGAAACAGCCGAAGACGACGCGAGGCAGGCGAGUGACCACCGGCGGUCGCCGUCGCAGCUGCCAAGAUACGCGCGAUUGGCGGGCGAGGAGACGCAGGCAGGCAGGCGACGGUGCGAUCGAUCGCCGGGAAUCCAUGGCAGCGGUGAAAAACUGAAAACGACGGUCUGGCACCAAGCUCUGAACGUCUGAAGCAGACCGGCCGGCGGGCGAUGCGUGGGAUUAGGUCGUGCGUCGGCGUCUCGACACGGAUAGCCCGGUGAAAAACCGCGCCGCCGCCGGUGUCGUGGGCAUGCGUAUUUGCAGGGGGGGAGAUGGCGACGCGGCGCUCGUGGUCUGUAGCCUAGUAAUGGAAUAGAUAAGGAUGAUUCGAAGCCGCGCGCACACACACACACACACACGCCAAGUGUGACAACGGCCGCAAAGCCGUCGGCCGGCCCGCCGUCGUGGUGUGUGCGGUUGCACCGUCACUGUUGGUCGUACC
Molecule: long non-coding RNA, 1024 nt
Filed under: Sorghum bicolor (sorghum)
Lineage: Eukaryota; Viridiplantae; Streptophyta; Magnoliopsida; Poales; Poaceae
Description: long non-coding RNA (SBIC_LNC018304)
Source: RNAcentral